GGGAUAACUAUUGGAAACGAUAGCUAAUACCGCAUAAGAUUGAAUAUCGCAUGAUAAUUGAUUAAAAGAUGCAAAUGCAUCACUACCAGAUGGACCUGCGUUGCAUUAGCUAGUAGGUGAGGUAACGGCUCACCUAGGCGACGAUACAUAGCCGACCUGAGAGGGUGAUCGGCCACACUGGGACUGAGACACGGCCCAGACUCCUACGGGAGGCAGCAGUAGGGAAUCUUCGGCAAUGGGGGCAACCCUGACCGAGCAACGCCGCGUGAGUGAAGAAGGUUUUCGGAUCGUAAAGCUCUGUUGUAAGAGAAGAACGAGUGUGAGAGUGGAAAGUUCACACUGUGACGGUAUCUUACCAGAAAGGGACGGCUAACUACGUGCCAGCAGCCGCGGUAAUACGUAGGUCCCGAGCGUUGUCCGGAUUUAUUGGGCGUAAAGCGAGCGCAGGCGGUUAGAUAAGUCUGAAGUUAAAGGCUGUGGCUUAACCAUAGUACGCUUUGGAAACUGUUUAACUUGAGUGCAGAAGGGGAGAGUGGAAUUCCAUGUGUAGCGGUGAAAUGCGUAGAUAUAUGGAGGAACACCGGUGGCGAAAGCGGCUCUCUGGUCUGUAACUGACGCUGAGGCUCGAAAGCGUGGGGAGCGAACAGGAUUAGAUACCCUGGUAGUCCACGCCGUAAACGAUGAGUGCUAGGUGUUAGGCCCUUUCNCGGGGCUUAGUGCCGUAGCUAACGCAUUAAGCACUCCGCCUGGGGAGUACGA
This 759-nucleotide ribosomal RNA is filed under the name uncultured Streptococcus sp. RNAcentral's name for it is "bacterial SSU rRNA". It matches the Rfam family "Bacterial small subunit ribosomal RNA", at positions 140 to 885 of the family's 1533-position model. Lineage: Bacteria; Bacillati; Bacillota; Bacilli; Lactobacillales; Streptococcaceae. The record is from RNAcentral.